CCAGGCCAGUUUUUUGAUUCAGCGUAAAUCACACUGAGCAAAGUAUGGUUAGCAGCAUUCCCAGGUUCUGAUUUUAUAAGGUGGUGUGCUAGCAUUUCUGCAAUUUCAAAUCUCCCAUGAGUUUUACAUGCUGACACCAAAGAGCUCCAUAUUGUUGCACUAGGUUUCAAGGGCAUUGUUUGCACAAUAUCAAAAGCAUCAUCGAUUUUCCCAGACUUUCCAAGAAGAUCAAUUAGGCAAGCAUAAUGUUCUAUAGUCAGUGGGAUUUUUCCUUCUUGCUUCACAUUAUCAAAUAUCUGUUUUCCCUCUUUGACAAGGCCAGUGUGGUUGCAAGCUGAUAAAAUGGCAAUUAAAGUAAUUGCAUCUGGUUCCACCAUCCUGUCUUGCAUAUCAUGAAAAAGACACAAAGCUUCCUUACCAUAACCAUGCAAGCCAUAACCAGCAAUCAAUGUACUCCAUG
This 460-nucleotide unclassified non-coding RNA is filed under the name Hevea brasiliensis (rubber tree). Lineage: Eukaryota; Viridiplantae; Streptophyta; Magnoliopsida; Malpighiales; Euphorbiaceae. The record is from RNAcentral.